This is an unclassified non-coding RNA of Orbicella faveolata, 3821 nucleotides long. NCBI's taxonomy places the organism in Eukaryota, Metazoa, Cnidaria, Anthozoa, Scleractinia, Merulinidae. The record is from RefSeq and is a predicted model, not a curated record.
CAGCAGUUUCCGUUGCCAAAGAAAGCCAAAGAUAUUUGUUUUCGCUCAGAGAAGGCGGUAAUCUGACUUUGGGACGCCAAAAGAGGAGCGAUCAAGUCUCUAAAAAUCUUCUGACCUUUGUGGACAUUGCUUACAAAUUGAAAACGGCCGAGGACUUUCAAGCAGAGAAAAGUGAACCAGCUGGAGCACCAAGCAAAUGGUCGCUAUGGCCGGUGAAGUCCAGUAUGUCAGUAAGCUUAUUCUAAAUUGGGAUCGAAGAUAAUGUAAGAGGCAUCAUUCAGUUUUCUCAGUAAGAGAAAUCAUGCCUGGAUUUUAUAUGAGUGACACAGCUGUUGCGUUUGCGGUAUUGAUCUGACUGAUGGAGUUCUCCUUUAACAUCAACGAGUUGCUGCCUGAUCUCAUCACACUCGUCGACGAUAAAUUGGCACCAUUUCGGGCUCGAGUGAAAAAUGACAGGUAUGAAUUUGCAAACAAGCAAGCUCAACUCAAAACAGUGAUUGAUAAGAUGGGUGAUGCUUCUACAAGGGCUCAAGGUUUGCGUGCACCUAUCACCAGUGCAGUAAAACUCCAACAUUCAGACCACAGGCUUUACGUUAUGAAGGAUCCAUCAGCAAACAGUGAUUUAGGAGCAGUCGUUGGGAUUCUAAAAGUUGGUCAUAAGAAGCUCUUUUUACUGGACACGCAAAGUGUGCAGUAUGAGGUUAAUCCCUUGUGUGUACUGGAUUUCUACAUUCAUGAGUCUCGUCAAAGAACAGGGUGUGGCAAUAGGAUGUUUGAGCACAUGUUGAAGAUGGAGGGUAGAAUGGCACACCAGUUGGCUAUAGACAGACCUUCUCACAAGUUUGUCUCUUUUCUGAAGAAGUACUAUGGUCUAAAGAAUGCUAUACCACAGGCCAAUAACUUUGUUAUCCACGAGCACUUCUUCUCUGAUUUGCAAGCUGUCGGUCAUGUACCUCGUCGAAGUCAACGCCUUGCUAAUGCUGGUCAGUCAGGAAGGCCUCCAGUUCAUCCGUACCGAAGAACAAACCAACAUGAUAACGAGCCACCGCUGCUGCAGAGAUCUCAGUCCGGCUUAUCAAGUCGCCUGUCAACUCGACCGAACAGUGGCAGAGAGUUGUCAUCCUUUUCGAAUGAUAGCGCACACAAGACAGAAGCUGAACCAAGCACCGCACUUACAAUAGGUGGCUCACUUCGAGAUAUCCACCUGCCCCCUGUUGUACCCAGGCCUCCUUAGAGAAAAUCAGCUCCAGGCUCACGGGAUUCCUCUGCAGGGGGUAGGUCUGUGACAAGAGGGAUGGAGUUAGGACCAUAUGAAGCAACCAAUCACGUUCGCUCAGAAGCUUUCAACUCGUCACGUGGUUUGGCGGCUCGCGCCACAUCGUACAGUCGCCACUCGAGCCGCGCUGGGUCAGCGGAUAUUGCAAAGUCGCACAAGGACGCUGCAGUAGCAGUCAUAGCAUUGGACACGAAAGCUGAUAACAGUAGCUUUUAUAGAAACAAUAGUGGAGGGAGAGCUAGAUCACUGCAUCUCACUUCAGUGGAGAAUCCUUUCGUGGAACAGGUGGUGACAGUACCGAUUGCUGCACAGAAACAACAAGAAAGAGUCUCAUCAGCAGUUGCGUCACAAGUCGCCAAAGUCGAACAAGGUCAUAACUCCAAUAUCUCUAGCAGCCAAGCACUGCAAGCAACUGUCCCUCCAAGCGGAUUAACUUCCAGUGGAAACUUUUCCGUCAGCACACUUUUCAACAAUCACUAUGCCGUCCGUCCGCCGUUCAUGGGAAGUUCCUGGAACAUUUUUGGAGUGCCGACUAACUUGAACAAAGACCCCAGUUCGGCAAAUUAUAUGUACACGAGAAGAACUCAAAAGCGACAUCACCCAUUCUGAAAACAAAAACUUUUUUUUUUUUAAUCCAAAUUUAUUUAAUAUGUAUUAUAUAUAAAUAAGUUUUUUUUUAAAUCAAAGUUAAUGAUAACAGAGUUUGCUUACUCUGGUGAUGAACGAAUGACAUUCUCUCACUAUAGCCUUAUUCUUAUUUACGUGGGAGUCUCUAAUUUCACCAACAAGACUCGCUUUCUAAUUGGAAGCUUUUAACUUUCAACUGACAUGAACCAAUUUCCAAACGAAGGAAUGUGAAAAGAACACUCACGUGGAAAGAGCACAGCUUUGCUCAAAGUGGAAUAUCGGUUCAUUCGAAAACAUCUUACUCUGAACAGUUCAUAUAACUGGGUGGCACUACGUGAUGGUCUAAGUCUACAGUCUACCGUAGCCGCGCGUCUGAGGGUCGUAAUUAUCUCUUGGUCACUUACCUUUGCGGAGUGGAUAAUUCCCUCGUGUACAGUCAUCUGCCUGAGGCUCCUUGCGUGAGACCUUCAUACAUGCUUCCCCUUGGAUAGCCUCCUUCGCAGACGUUCUUUGAGUUCGUCACGCAAUCUUCCUCCUGUUGGGUAAGAAGAUUGCGUGACGUGCACGAAAACCGUCUGCGUGGGACCCUACCAAAGAUAUGGCAUUUGAUUCUCAGAAAUGGCCACUAUUGACCGCGUGUAUUAGUUGAGACUUGACUAUGGCGUGACUCGAUAAGAGUGGUUUUCAACUGAGUAUCGAGUAUUUUUCUUCAUUGGCCUAAAGAACUUCGUGAUCUACUCAAUCAGUCAGAUGGAAAACACUUGUUCGCAUGGGUGGGACAAGUUCGAGUUUUGAUUGGUUCACUGUGUUCUUUACGUUUGUUGUGAUUGGUGAUAGUAAUUGCUUUGGAUUUGUUUUUACGAUACUCGAAAACUGCUCUAAUACGCUAUGCAUACAUACAUACAUACUUUAUUGACUUUCCUCUAAGAGGCUUUUCAAAGACAAUAACGUAAAUUUAAAUAAGUGCAACAAUAAAAAUAAUAAAGUGGCAACAAUGUACGACAAAAUAAGAUGGCAACAAUGUACGACAAUAGCAAACUAAGAAUGUAACAUAUGGUUUAGUUGAAGCAGUUUCAUUUUUUUAAAGAAAUAUGAGUGUGGCAGAAGUCAGUUUUCUUUUAUUCUGAUCUCAUUAAAUGUCUUUUGGUAAAAUUACGCGUUCUUAUUGGGCAGUUAAAUAUUUUUAUGUUUUGUACUUUUUCGAAGAAGGUGUAUGAAAAUGACACACAUAGCAUACCACCGUGGUUAUAACUCAAUCUUUUGCUUCCUUUCCUACUCAAAUACGAUAACUGAAAUUGCGCGUGUUUCUCAGAUGCCAUAGUGAUUUUACAAGCAAUAAGAAGUGAACUGUACGUGGCAUGCUACGCUCGGGGACCUUUUAUAUCGCAUCGAAAUUAAUUCAAUAGCAUUGUGUACCAUUUGAGUAUCGUUAACUGGCGCUUCAAUCUUAAAUGAAACGGAAUGGAAUACAGACCCAUUCUCAUGCGAUGUUAGGAUUUGUAAGCCACGCUUACGUAAACGAGACUUCUUCGUUAUGCGGUGGUCGCUGUUGUAGCCUGUGUACAUCCGCGGGGCAGAUGUACACGGGCUAUCGCUGUUGCAGGAAUCGUAACUGCUACAAAUGAUCUAACACUGACGAAACAUGCUGUAUCCAUUUGUAGGAGUAUCACGUCUUCUUGACCAAUCAAUGGCCAUCAAACUAAACUCAUACGUGUAUUAUCUCACGUGUCAAACGUUUUAACAUAUCGAUACAACGUGAAAAUGUUUUCUUCGACUUCCUUACCGGUUCAAAUUUUUUGCAGCUGUUUUGGUUGAGUUUGGCUAUCAAAUAUGGACCGUAUAGACCUCUUGUGAAAAAUCCUCCGUAGGAAAAAAGAUGGCGGCUGUACAUUUUACCACAAUACCUUGCGAACCUACC